This 86-nucleotide non-coding RNA is filed under the name Pseudomonas sp. URMO17WK12:I6. Lineage: Bacteria; Pseudomonadati; Pseudomonadota; Gammaproteobacteria; Pseudomonadales; Pseudomonadaceae. The record is from RNAcentral.
AUUUAUGGCGGCUGUGCGCGGGAGAUCUUCGGAUCUGCCGGUAUUCUCUAUGCCGGUUCGCCAACCUGCGCACAGCUGCCACCUAA